UACGUAGGCGGAAAAUUAAGUCAGUAGUGAAAUCCUGCAGCUUAACUGUAGAACUGUUAUUGAUACUGGUUUUCUUGAAUAUAGUUGAGGUAGGCGGAAUGUGUAAUGUAGCGGUGAAAUGCUUAGAUAUUACACAGAACACCGAUUGCGAAGGCAGCUUACUAAGCUAUGAUUGACGCUGGGGUACGAAAGCGUGGGGAGCGAACAGGAUUAGAUACCCUGGUAGUCC
Molecule: ribosomal RNA, 229 nt
Filed under: uncultured bacterium
Lineage: Bacteria
Description: partial 16S ribosomal RNA
Rfam family: Bacterial small subunit ribosomal RNA
Source: RNAcentral